Long non-coding RNA from Prionailurus viverrinus (fishing cat), 882 nucleotides. RefSeq lists it as uncharacterized. The transcript is spliced from 6 exons. The record is from RefSeq and is a predicted model, not a curated record. Lineage: Eukaryota; Metazoa; Chordata; Mammalia; Carnivora; Felidae.
CUAGCCAAGCCUGCCUAACCUCUGCUCACCUCAGCUUAAACAUCACUUCCUCAGAGAUACCUUCCCUUCACCUGCUGCAGCUCUCACUUACCUCCUGGGCUCCCCACGAGCUGCAGAGAAGUUCUGCACGAGAACAUUUCUAGCAUCCUGGGAAAUCGCUGAGUUGUUUGCAUUAUCCUGUCUUCACUCACCUCAGAUCACAAGUAGAGAGCAAUGAAGCUGGAGACCCUCAAGGUUUAGGAUUCCAAGGUUCAGUGUGCGCCUGACUGCUCAGCUGGGAGUUUCCUUUGCUUUUAUGGAUUUCAAGUGAGGGAAAUGAGGUCACUUGUCAAGAAAUGUACAUUUUCUCAGAAAACAUUGUUGCAAUGGAAGCAGCAAGGCAUAAAACAGAACCCAGGAACUGUUGAAAAGCUAUCACCCACCCUGUCUGAGCCUCAGUUCACUCACUUGUAUCCAGAAGCCUCAACAGAUAAUUGAAUAAUUAAGUGAAAUCAUCUGUUCGCUGGAGGACACAGCCCUGCCAUCUCCAUAGUCCUUCACCAGGCUUUCCCCAGCCCCCAGCUCCAGCCUCAGGAAGUGGAGCUGCUGAGAAUCUCUCCUCCAGCCUCGCCUCCUGCCGAGAGUGUCCUCUGCGCUCCAUGCCCAAUGUGGGCCUUGAACUCAAGAUCAAGAGUCAUAUGCUCUACCAACUAAGCCAGCCAGGUGCCCCUUGAUCCUUUCUAAUUUUCUGAAGAAGACUGUUUCAGGCCAUGUCCUCAGAACCCCACUUCCUCUUGGUGGACAGAGCUCAGGGCCCACGGCUACAGGAAAUUUGCAGAGUCCCUCCUUUUUUUUGUUUCUCUUCACUCUCUCCCCUUUGCUGUUCUCAUAAUCUUAUCUACC